UAUGUUGGAUGCAUUGAAUGAGUGCGUACAGAUCUCUGGACCACUUCUUGAUGAAAGCCAAGUAAGGUGCAUUGUGGAUGAGAUUAAACAUGUCAUAACUGCUAGUUCCUCAAGAAAGCAUGAAAGAAUGGAGAGGUCAAAAGCAGAGGAUUUUGAUGCAGAUGAGAGAGAAUUGCUUGAUGAAGAAAAUGAGCAAGAGGAAGAAGUUUUUGAUCAGGUUGGUGAUUGUUUGGGAACUUUGAUCAAGACUUUCAAGGCCUCGUUCUUGCCUAUGUUUGAUGAACUCUCAUCAUAUUUGACACCUAUGUGGGGUAAGGAUAGAACAGCAGAGGAGAGGAGGAUAGCAAUAUGUAUUUUUGAUGAUGUCGUGGAGCAUUGCCGUGAAGCAGCCCUAAGGUACUAUGAUACCUACCUUCCUUUCUUGUUGGAGGCUUGCAAUGAUGAGAAUCCUGAUGUCCGUCAGGCUGCUGUUUAUGGUAUUGGUGUUUGUGCUGAGUAUGGUGGUGCAGUAUUUCGUCCUCUUGUUGGAGAAGCUCUCUCCAGGUUAAAUAAUGUUAUAAGACAUCCUGAUGCACAACUUCCGGA
Molecule: unclassified non-coding RNA, 585 nt
Filed under: Hevea brasiliensis (rubber tree)
Lineage: Eukaryota; Viridiplantae; Streptophyta; Magnoliopsida; Malpighiales; Euphorbiaceae
Source: RNAcentral